UACGGAAGGCAGCAGUGGGGAAUAUUGCACAAUGGGCGCAAGCCUGAUGCAGCCAUGCCGCGUGUAUGAAGAAGGCCUUCGGGUUGUAAAGUACUUUCAGCGGGGAGGAAGGCGGUGAAGUUAAUAGCUUCACCGAUUGACGUUACCCGCAGAAGAAGCACCGGCUAACUCCGUGCCAGCAGCCGCGGUAAUACGGAGGGUGCAAGCGUUAAUCGGAAUUACUGGGCGUAAAGCGCACGCAGGCGGUCUGUCAAGUCGGAUGUGAAAUCCCCCGGGCUUAACCUGGGAACUGCAUUCGAAACUGGCAGGCUAGAGUCUUGUAGAGGGGGUAGAAUUCCAGGUGUAGCGGUGAAAUGCGUAGAGAUCUGGAGGAAUACCGGUGGCGAAGGCGGCCCCUGGACAAGACUGACGCUCAGGGUGCGAAAGCGUGGGGAGCAAACGAGGAUUAGGAUACC
RNAcentral lists this ribosomal RNA (455 nucleotides) under uncultured bacterium. RNAcentral describes it as "bacterial SSU rRNA". It matches the Rfam family "Bacterial small subunit ribosomal RNA", at positions 340 to 786 of the family's 1533-position model. The record is from RNAcentral.